CUAUUAUCGUCUCUAUUUCAAAACCGAACAUGAUUUUUUAGUAUCAUACGGCUCCUUUAUGAAUUUUAAUUUUUUUUUAUAUCAUAUUUUUGUAUUUAAAUAAAUUCAUAACAUCUAUGUUAGUUUUUUCAUUAUUU
RNAcentral lists this transfer RNA (137 nucleotides) under Macrohymenium mitratum. RNAcentral's name for it is "partial tRNA-Ser". Lineage: Eukaryota; Viridiplantae; Streptophyta; Bryopsida; Hypnales; Sematophyllaceae. The record is from RNAcentral.